UUAAUUUGAGAGUUUGAUCCUGGCUCAGGACGAACGCUGGCGGCGUGCCUAAUACAUGCAAGUCGAACGAACUCUGGUAUUGAUUGGUGCUUGCAUCAUGAUUUACAUUUGAGUGAGUGGCGAACUGGUGAGUAACACGUGGGAAACCUGCCCAGAAGCGGGGGAUAACACCUGGAAACAGAUGCUAAUACCGCAUAACAACUUGGACCGCAUGGUCCGAGCUUGAAAGAUGGCUUCGGCUAUCACUUUUGGAUGGUCCCGCGGCGUAUUAGCUAGAUGGUGGGGUAACGGCUCACCAUGGCAAUGAUACGUAGCCGACCUGAGAGGGUAAUCGGCCACAUUGGGACUGAGACACGGCCCAAACUCCUACGGGAGGCAGCAGUAGGGAAUCUUCCACAAUGGACGAAAGUCUGAUGGAGCAACGCCGCGUGAGUGAAGAAGGGUUUCGGCUCGUAAAACUCUGUUGUUAAAGAAGAACAUAUCUGAGAGUAACUGUUCAGGUAUUGACGGUAUUUAACCAGAAAGCCACGGCUAACUACGUGCCAGCAGCCGCGGUAAUACGUAGGUGGCAAGCGUUGUCCGGAUUUAUUGGGCGUAAAGCGAGCGCAGGCGGUUUUUUAAGUCUGAUGUGAAAGCCUUCGGCUCAACCGAAGAAGUGCAUCGGAAACUGGGAAACUUGAGUGCAGAAGAGGACAGUGGAACUCCAUGUGUAGCGGUGAAAUGCGUAGAUAUAUGGAAGAACACCAGUGGCGAAGGCGGCUGUCUGGUCUGUAACUGACGCUGAGGCUCGAAAGUAUGGGUAGCAAACAGGAUUAGAUACCCUGGUAGUCCAUACCGUAAACGAUGAAUGCUAAGUGUUGGAGGGUUUCCGCCCUUCAGUGCUGCAGCUAACGCAUUAAGCAUUCCGCCUGGGGAGUACGGCCGCAAGGCUGAAACUCAAAGGAAUUGACGGGGGCCCGCACAAGCGGUGGAGCAUGUGGUUUAAUUCGAAGCUACGCGAAGAACCUUACCAGGUCUUGACAUACUAUGCAAAUCUAAGAGAUUAGACGUUCCCUUCGGGGACAUGGAUACAGGUGGUGCAUGGUUGUCGUCAGCUCGUGUCGUGAGAUGUUGGGUUAAGUCCCGCAACGAGCGCAACCCUUAUUAUCAGUUGCCAGCAUUAAGUUGGGCACUCUGGUGAGACUGCCGGUGACAAACCGGAGGAAGGCGGGGAUGACGUCAAAUCAUCAUGCCCCUUAUGACCUGGGCUACACACGUGCUACAAUGGAUGGUACAACGAGUUGCGAACUCGCGAGAGUAAGCUAAUCUCUUAAAGCCAUUCUCAGUUCGGAUUGUAGGCUGCAACUCGCCUACAUGAAGUCGGAAUCGCUAGUAAUCGCGGAUCAGCAUGCCGCGGUGAAUACGUUCCCGGGCCUUGUACACACCGCCCGUCACACCAUGAGAGUUUGUAACACCCAAAGUCGGUGGGGUAACCUUUUAGGAACCAGCCGCCUAAGGUGGGACAGAUGAUUAGGGUGAAGUCGUAACAAGGUAGCCGUAGGAGAACCUGCGGCUGGAUCACCUCCUUUCUAAGGAA
Molecule: ribosomal RNA, 1576 nt
Filed under: Lactiplantibacillus plantarum
Lineage: Bacteria; Bacillati; Bacillota; Bacilli; Lactobacillales; Lactobacillaceae
Description: Lactobacillus plantarum 16S ribosomal RNA
Rfam family: Bacterial small subunit ribosomal RNA
Source: RNAcentral